AUGGGAUUAGCUAGUAGGUGGGGUAAACGCUCACCUAGGCGACGAUCCCUAGCUGGUCUGAGAGGAUGACCAGCCACACUGGAACUGAGACACGGUCCAGACUCCUACGGGAGGCAGCAGUGGGGAAUAUUGCACAAUGGGCGCAAGCCUGAUGCAGCCCAUGCCGCGUGUAUGAAGAAGGCCUUCGGGUUGUAAAGUACUUUCAGCGGGGAGGAAGGGAGUAAAGUUAAUACCUUUGCUCAUAGACGUUACCCGCAGAAGAAGCGCCGGCUAACUCCGUGCCAGCAGCCGCGGUAAUACGGAGGGUGCAAGCGUUAAUCCGGAAUUACUGGGCGUAAAGCGCACGCAGGCGUUUUGUUAAGUCAGAUGUGAAAUCCCCGGGCUCAACCUGGGAACUGCAUCUGAUACUGGCAAGCUUGAGUCUCGUAGAGGGGGGUAGAAUUCCAGGUGUAGCGGUGAAAUGCGUAGAGAUCUGGAGGAAUACCGGUGGCGAAGGCGGCCCCCUGG
Molecule: ribosomal RNA, 507 nt
Filed under: uncultured Gammaproteobacteria bacterium
Lineage: Bacteria; Pseudomonadati; Pseudomonadota; Gammaproteobacteria
Description: bacterial SSU rRNA
Rfam family: Bacterial small subunit ribosomal RNA
Source: RNAcentral